UACGGAGGGUGCAAGCGUUAUCCGGAUUCACUGGGUUUAAAGGGUGUGUAGGUGGGUUGGUAAGUCAGUGGUGAAAUCCCCGAGCUUAACUUGGGAACUGCCAUUGAUACUAUCAGUCUUGAAUACCGUGGAGGUCAGCGGAAUAUGUCAUGUAGCGGUGAAAUGCUUAGAUAUGACAUAGAACACCAAUUGCGAAGGCAGCUGGCUACUCGGAUAUUGACACUGAGGCACGAAAGCGUGGGGAUCAAACAGG
Molecule: ribosomal RNA, 253 nt
Filed under: uncultured bacterium
Lineage: Bacteria
Description: partial 16S ribosomal RNA
Rfam family: Bacterial small subunit ribosomal RNA
Source: RNAcentral